GAUGAACGCUGGCGGCGUGCUUAACACAUGCAAGUCGAACGAAGCAUUUGCGACAGAUUUCUUCGGAUUGAAGUUGCUUAUGACUGAGUGGCGGACGGGUGAGUAACGCGUGGGUAACCUGCCUCAUACAGGGGGAUAGCAGCUGGAAACGGCUGGUAAUACCGCAUAAGCGCACAGUACCACAUGGUACAGUGUGAAAAACUCCGGUGGUAUGAGAUGGACCCGCGUCUGAUUAGCCAGUUGGUGAGGUAACGGCCCACCAAGGCGACGAUCAGGAGCCGACCUGAGAGGGGGACCGGCCACAUUGGGACUGAGACACGGCCCAGACUCCUACGGGAGGCAGCAGUGGGGAAUAUUGCACAAUGGGGGAAACUCUGAUGCAGCGACGCCGCGUGAGUGAAGAAGUAGUUCGCUAUGUAAAGCUCUACCAGCAGGGAAGAUAGUGACGGUACCUGACUAAGAAGCUCCGGCUAAAUACGUGCCAGCAGCCGCCGUAA
Molecule: ribosomal RNA, 497 nt
Filed under: uncultured bacterium
Lineage: Bacteria
Description: partial 16S ribosomal RNA
Rfam family: Bacterial small subunit ribosomal RNA
Source: RNAcentral